RNAcentral lists this long non-coding RNA (962 nucleotides) under Ricinus communis (castor bean). RNAcentral describes it as "long non-coding RNA (RCOM_LNC002456)". The record is from RNAcentral. Lineage: Eukaryota; Viridiplantae; Streptophyta; Magnoliopsida; Malpighiales; Euphorbiaceae.
AGAAAAGGGGCAGACGAGAAAGAAAGUGGGAGAUAGAGAGAAUCCAUGUAUAUCCAAGCACUUGCAGACAAAGUGAGGUUCAGAGAAGAAAAGCAACAUUUGCUUUACGACCCAGAAAAGGAGAUUUCAAACCACCGUAAGGGUUAGCUUAGGAAAUUGCGUGGUUACUAACCCAACCACACCAUUUCUUUUCUUUGUUGUUUUUCUUUUUUAAAAGAAAUUUUUGUUAGAAAAAGAAAAGAAUUUCUCUUCCAUUGUUUCUUUACUUCAAUUUUUCUUUUUUGCUUUUUCUUGAUUCAUAUUUUCUCUUCCCUUUCUCUCUCAUAUCAUGGUGUCUAUAUUUAGUUGCAAGCUGAGGUGCAACUACAACCCCACAUCUUUCCUUCUUUCCCUCUCAAAAUAACACAUACAAACCCCACACAUCAAAAUAAAAUACCAGGAUUUAGCUUCUCUCUAUUGCCUUCUUUUAUGCCAAUUCUUUAGGGUUUUAAUUCAUUUUGUUUUUCUUGUUUAAUUUCAUGUGGGACUUUUCAAACACCAAUCUUCCCCCUUAUUUGAUUAUGACCCAGUUCCUGUUUUCCAUACAUCUCUCCCCUCCAUAAAUACCACUCUCCCCUCCUCUCUCUUUCCCUUCAAUCUCUACCCUUCUCUAUUUCUGUCUCUCUCUCUCUCCCUGUCUGUCUUUGUUUGCCCUAAUUUUGCUCCUCCUGUAGCACUUUCUUCUCCUCGAAUUGUAAGCAUAGAGAAGACAAAUUUUUUCAUCUAUUUUAGAUGCAUACUUGUAUAUUCACUUCUUGCUCUUGCAUUGAACAUUCAUGCUCAUACAUAUAUAUUUAUAUAUAAUAUAAUAUACGCAUCACAUACAAUCAUGGAUCAUACAUAAGAUACAUGCUUACAUAGUUAGAGAAAUGCUUAUUUUAAGCUUUAAUCAUCAUGCAUCAUCAUCAUUAUCAUAUCAUNNN